Molecule: ribosomal RNA, 489 nt
Filed under: marine sediment bacterium ISA-6339
Lineage: Bacteria
Description: bacterial SSU rRNA
Rfam family: Bacterial small subunit ribosomal RNA
Source: RNAcentral
UGGCGGCGUGCCUAAUACAUGCAAGUCGAGCGGAUCAAUGGGGAGCUUGCUCCCCUGAGAUCAGCGGCGGACGGGUGAGUAACACGUGGGCAACCUGCCUGUAAGACUGGGAUAACUCCGGGAAACCGGGGCUAAUACCGGAUAACAUUUUCCACUGCAUAGUGGAGAAUUAAAAGAUGGCUUCGGCUAUCACUUACAGAUGGGCCCGCGGCGCAUUAGCUAGUUGGUGAGGUAAGGGCUCACCAAGGCGACGAUGCGUAGCCGACCUGAGAGGGUGAUCGGCCACACUGGGACUGAGACACGGCCCAGACUCCUACGGGAGGCAGCAGUAGGGAAUCUUCGGCAAUGGGCGAAAGCCUGACCGAGCAACGCCGCGUGAGCGAUGAAGGCCUUCGGGUCGUAAAGCUCUGUUGUUAGGGAAGAACAAGUACCGUUCGAAUAGGGCGGUACCUUGACGGUACCUAACCAGAAAGCCACGGCUAACUACGU